RNAcentral lists this long non-coding RNA (362 nucleotides) under Crocodylus porosus (Australian saltwater crocodile). Its description in RNAcentral is "lncRNA (ENSCPRG00005011970.1)". The record is from RNAcentral. Lineage: Eukaryota; Metazoa; Chordata; Crocodylia; Crocodylidae.
AUGGGAAUGUUUUGGCCCCGUUUUCUGCCCUGGCCCAGUUUUUAUGUGACUGUUGGGUCUUAUUCCAGCACUUCACUGAUGAAGAAAUGGGGGAGAAAGCGAAGCAAGGCCAGCGUAGGAGGACGCUGGAGGCCGGCCCAGGUGGACGCCCCGAUGUCAGAGCUGACAUACAAGAACAUAGAGCAGCAUGAGACGGGUGAUCCGGGUCCCCAGGAUGCCCCUGAGCUGGGCAGGGAGGAGCUGGGCACGGAUAGUCCCCCGGAUCUUCCUCAGCGCAGAUGGGGAGGUAGUGUGCUAGUGCUCUCUGCUCAGGGGAAUUGUGUUUUGGGGGAGUGGGGGAGGUGUCCCAGACACCUGGGGUU